UACGUAGGGCGCAAGCGUUAUCCGAAAUUAUUGGGCGUAAAGAGCUCGUAGGCGGUUUGUUGCGUCGGCUGUGAAAUCCCGAGGCUCAACCUCGGGUCUGCAGUCGAUACGAGCAAACUAGAGUGUUGCAGGGGAGACUGGAAUUCCUGGUGUAGCGGUGAAAUGCGCAGAUAUCAGGAGGAACACCGGUGGCGAAGGCGGGUCUCUGGGCCACUACUGACGCUGAGAAGCGAAAGCAUGGGGAGCGAACAGG
This 253-nucleotide ribosomal RNA is filed under the name uncultured bacterium. Its description in RNAcentral is "partial 16S ribosomal RNA". It matches the Rfam family "Bacterial small subunit ribosomal RNA", at positions 524 to 776 of the family's 1533-position model. The record is from RNAcentral.